UGCCCCCUGGCCCAGCUGGUUAAGGCGCACGACUGUUACAGUUGGGAUCAUUUGCUUACGCAAUCCUGAUUACGUAAUCGGAAUCGUGAGAUCGGGAGUUCAAUCCUCCCGGGGGCAG
Non-coding RNA from Mycena epipterygia, 118 nucleotides. Lineage: Eukaryota; Fungi; Basidiomycota; Agaricomycetes; Agaricales; Mycenaceae. The record is from the annotation of a GenBank genome assembly.